RNAcentral lists this ribosomal RNA (254 nucleotides) under uncultured bacterium. Its description in RNAcentral is "partial 16S ribosomal RNA". It matches the Rfam family "Bacterial small subunit ribosomal RNA", at positions 793 to 1055 of the family's 1533-position model. The record is from RNAcentral.
GUCCACGCCGUAAACGAUGGAUACUAGCUGUUCGGGGCAACCUGAGUGGCUAAGCGAAAGUGAUAAGUAUCCCACCUGGGGAGUACGUUCGCAAGAAUGAAACUCAAAGGAAUUGACGGGGCCCGCACAAGCGGUGGAGCAUGUGGUUUAAUUCGAUGAUACGCGAGGAACCUUACCAAGGCUUAAAUGUAGAUUGACAGGUUUGGAAACAGACUUUUCUUCGGACAAUUUACAAGGUGCUGCAUGGUUGUCGU